Molecule: transfer-messenger RNA, 356 nt
Filed under: Peptostreptococcaceae bacterium
Lineage: Bacteria; Bacillati; Bacillota; Clostridia; Peptostreptococcales; Peptostreptococcaceae
Rfam family: transfer-messenger RNA
About the family: Bacterial tmRNA, also known as 10Sa RNA or SsrA, is named for its dual tRNA and mRNA-like properties. Its role is to liberate the mRNA from a stalled ribosome.
Source: RNAcentral
GGGGAUGUAAUGGUUUCGACGGGGUUUUGAAGUUAUCGGAAGCGAGCCGUGCAACUCCUCUGUAUCACGCUAAACUCAGGGGAACUAAAGAUAAACGCAAACAACGAUUUUGCACUGGCUGCCUAAUAGCCGCAGCCCGUUUUUACCAAAUGUCCUACAGCUUGGAUAAAAACGUCACUUUGUAGGGAACUACCGUCGGGAUAUCCGGACCUUCGGUAGAGCCAUUCGGAUGUAGCGGAGGAAGAGCUCGGUUGACGGGGCGCUUCGGAAGCGAAACUCAAAUUCGUCGACUACGCUCGUAGAAACUGAUAAUGAAUGGAUUUCGGACAGGAGUUCGAUUCUCCUCAUCUCCACCA